Molecule: ribosomal RNA, 485 nt
Filed under: uncultured Methanosaeta sp.
Lineage: Archaea; Methanobacteriati; Methanobacteriota; Methanomicrobia; Methanotrichales; Methanotrichaceae
Description: bacterial SSU rRNA
Rfam family: Archaeal small subunit ribosomal RNA
Source: RNAcentral
AACUUAAUGAAUUGACGGGGGAGCACCACAACGGGUGGAGCUUGCGGUUUAAUUGGAUUCAACGCCGGAAAUCUUACCGGGACCGACAGCAAUAUGAAGGCCAGGCUGAAGACUUUGCCGGAUUAGCUGAGAGGUGGUGCAUGGCCGUCGUCAGUUCGUACUGUGAAGCAUCCUGUUAAGUCAGGCAACGAGCGAGACCCACGCCCACAGUUGCCAGCGUACUCUCUGGAGUGACGGGUACACUGUGGGGACCGCCGCUGCUAAAGCGGAGGAAGGAAUGGGCAACGGUAGGUCAGUAUGCCCCGAAUAUCCCGGGCUACACGCGAGCUACAAUGGUUGGUACAAUGGGUAUCUACCCCGAAAGGGGACGGGAAUCUCCUAAAACCAAUCUUAGUUCGGAUUGAGGGCUGCAACUCGCCCUCAUGAAGCUGGAAUCCGUAGUAAUCGCGUUUCAACAGAACGCGGUGAAUACGUCCCUGCUCCUU